This is a long non-coding RNA of Haliotis rubra (blacklip abalone), 510 nucleotides long. RefSeq lists it as uncharacterized. The transcript is spliced from 4 exons. NCBI's taxonomy places the organism in Eukaryota, Metazoa, Mollusca, Gastropoda, Lepetellida, Haliotidae. The record is from RefSeq and is a predicted model, not a curated record.
CAGGUUUGAAAGCCUAAACAGCAGCAGGAAAUAUGGCAAACAGGUCCGACACUUCGAAUUCCGUCAAGGUGACCCUGUUCAAGAAGGAAUACUUUCAGGGUGAUCGUUUGCAUGUCACGGAGGACAUGACCAAUUUGAAUGAUUUCGAAUGAUCCGCAAAAGUCCACGAGGGAGAUUGGGCGCUGUACAGUGAGGUCAAAUAUUCCGGGAGGCGAAAGAUCCUUAAUGAAGGCAUGGCCUACAGUAGUCUUGGUGAUUUUAAUAACAUGGCUUCAUCCAUUAAAAGAAUUUGAGCUGACGCCAACAUGGUGUAGCAGCUCCUCCUUUGUUGGACAACUCACACUGACAUGGAUGCCCCGCAACACAUACAGCAACAUAUACGCCGUGCUUCAAUAUCUACAGAAGGAAAACAAACACAUCAUUUUAUUGUAAAUUAAUACUCUUAGAGUAAUUUCAACAAUGUACAUCUUUAAGAAGAGAGAAAUAUUUAUAAAUGAAGAUAUAAUAACU